CACAAGGGAGAAAAGCAAGUCUCUCCUCUUCAAGAGGCUGUUCUGCCUCGAUGUCAUGUCUUGGAACUAUUGCUGCCGUCUGCUACCUGACCAAUGAAGAAAACCAACACUGAGGUAUCAGAGCAGAGAUGGGAAGGACCUGGGUCUUAAGACAUCGUUGAGCUUUUCUGUCUCUGGACUUCUUGUUAUGGAAGAUGCCGUGCAGUGCGCCACUGGCUUGUACUUAACUUGCCAAAGCUUCGGUGCCUUCUAGGUGGUCCACACGGUUUCAGACCACUCCCUGUCACUCCAGGCUGGAGUCCGGACCUUCCACAGCCUAAAAGAGAAGGGCAGUUUGGUGAUUUUUUAAGGAGACAAGUGCCAGAUAUUUCAAAAUAUAGGCUAGCUCAGAAAACCACCUUGGAGUCAAUGCAGUGAGCCUCCCUGAGAAUGGAUGAUUGCUAAUAACGGCCCCCCCCGGCAUCUCCAUGGUGGGUCCGAUUCCUCCAGCUAUAUUUCUCUGGCCCACUUGGCAUCCUGGCUGGAAGGACACAAGAUCCACUCCUACUCCGGGUGCCCACAGACCUCAGCUGCCCUCAUCCCCUGUCUCAAGAUUACACAGGACACAUUCAAAGAAUUCUUCCUUUGAAGAAGGUCGUCGUCUUUGGACUUGAGAUUUUCACGACCCAGUGCAGUCCCCCGAGGCCCAAAAUGAAGCUGGAAUGAUCCAUGCCUCUUUGAAUGCCAGUAUCUCCAAAGAGCUCAGGAAUUUCAGUUUCCUGAAACUCAGACCUAUUAUGUGAAAUGCUUCAGUUUCUGAGCCUUGGCAAUUCUCAUAUGCCCAUUGUUCUUUCUGGCCUGGACCUGACCCUUGCAUAUGCAUUUAGAAACACUUGCACAGGACAAGGAAGAGGCGUCGAGGAAGAAGAUCCAAAUAUCAAAAUUGUCCUUUGAAAAAUACAACUGAUUACUGAAUUCGAACCCUCUGCUGUAUCUGGGCACA
Molecule: non-coding RNA, 982 nt
Organism: Leptonychotes weddellii (Weddell seal)
Lineage: Eukaryota; Metazoa; Chordata; Mammalia; Carnivora; Phocidae
Source: RefSeq, a predicted model, not a curated record